UCCUGGUUUCCCAGGCAGUCCCACCAGAGUGCCUUGCUUUCGCAGUUGCAACUGACAGAAGGGGUUGCGCUCGUUAGAGGACUUAACCCAACAUCUCACGACACGAGCUGACGACAGCCAUGCAGCACCUGUGUAAAUGUCCAAACCGAAGCUUGGAAGACUGUAUUUCUACAGCGGUCAUAUACAUGUCAAACCUAGGUAAGGUUCCUCGCGUAGUGUCGAAUUAAACCACAUGUUCCACCGCUUGUGCGAGCCCCCGUCAAUUCCUUUGGGUUUUAAUCUUGCGACCGUAGUCCCCAGGCGGAUCACUUAACGCGUUAGCUACGACACUGAUUUUGUUAAACAAAACCAACGUCUAGUGAUCAUCGUUUACAGCGUGGACUAC
This 385-nucleotide unclassified non-coding RNA is filed under the name uncultured bacterium. RNAcentral's name for it is "contains 16S-23S intergenic spacer region". The record is from RNAcentral.